This 253-nucleotide ribosomal RNA is filed under the name uncultured bacterium. Its description in RNAcentral is "partial 16S ribosomal RNA". It matches the Rfam family "Bacterial small subunit ribosomal RNA", at positions 524 to 776 of the family's 1533-position model. The record is from RNAcentral.
UACGAAGGGUGCAAGCGUUACUCGGAAUUACUGGGCGUAAAGCGUGCGUAGGCGGUUUGUUAAGUCCGUUGUGAAAGCCCCGGGCUCAACCCGGGAAGUGCACUCGAUACUGUCAAGCUAGAGUAUCGGAGAGGUUGGUGGAAUUCUCGGUGUAGAGGUGAAAUUCGUAGAUAUCGAGAGGAACACCGGUGGCGAAGGCGGCCAACUGGACGAAUACUGACGCUGAGACUCGAAAGCGUGGGGAGCAAACAGG